CACGAUGUAGUGAUCUAACGCGUGGUGAGCAGUUUCAUAUCGGAGCGUACGUGGUCACGGCGCACAACGUACACGUUAAUGACGGGGAACAAAACGCACAUCUUUUAAUGUUUAAAGGGAAAUCAUGUGUACAUAUUCUGUUAAAAACGUUGCACAGGGAUUAUUUUUAUUCUGUAUUUCACAGGGAACAACAACAACAACAACAUCAUCACGUGGUGACGGACGCAGCGUUGUUCAGACAAACGUUUACCGACCGUAUCGUUACACUUUCGUAAAGCUUUAUAACUCUACAUAACUCUUUUCCAUUGCUAAUAAUUAGAGACGGCGCCAGACCUCUUGGUCUUUUCCGAUACCGAUACCAUCCGAUAUUUUUUCUUUUUUUUUUUUCUUUAACUAAUAAGCUUUAAACUUUAUUUUUAUGCACUGCAGAGGAAAAAUACAUAUCUGAAACACAUGACUCGCCAAACCCGCAGUUUUUUUUCCGCCUUCCAUUGCAAAUAUAAAUACAUAUAAUUGUUUUUAUUCUAUUUAAACUUAAUCUGACAGGAUGUUACAGGAUCUGAUCAAAUUCGCUUCUUAUUUUCUCUGCUAUCUGAUCAAUAUCAGGAUCAGUAUUUUUUUCUUUGAUCCUGCGUAUCACAUGAAUGCCAUUUCGCUGUACACUCUCUAAUAAUGUGCUCUGUGACAUACUGUAUUCAUUUUUAUACAGAGUUGUUUCGGGUUCUGUAACAUCACCGUAAAGUGGAAACCUUUAUUUACAAACUAAUUACACGCACAUUUGUUUCUCGCUAUCGUUCCACAUUCGGACUCCCUCCUGUGAGGAACGUCACGAUUGUAUAAUUUAACUGUACUUUUGUGAUGACCGAUUUGUUAGACUCGAUAAGCUGCGUAUAAAUCCACUUUUCAUGGAAAGCGCAAACGUUUCGACCGUCAGGUCUUCAUCAGGCACGACACACACGUGGAAUAAAAGUACCACUGUUUAUAGAAGCAGGUACAUCACCUUCAUCAGGCUCGCACUCCAGAUGUCACGUGGUUUGAAUCGAUUGUCACGUGUUUUGGAGUGUGGAGUUUAUCUUCUAUAAAGAGUGGUACUUUAUUCCAGGUGUGUGUGGAGCGUGAUGAAGACCUGGCGGUCGAAGCGUUGUUUUGGAUCUGGAAGUUCGGUGUGUGGAUAUCACGCUUCUUUUUUCCAUGUGGUUAUUUCUGUUGUCCUGCACCUGAGCGUAAAUCAGGGUGCGUUUGGAUGUGCACACCUUUUUUGUUGUUGUUGUUGUUGUAUUUUAGAUUCUUCAGCAAAUUGUAAGGGAUAAUCAAUACAAUAAUGAUUCAGUCAGGUCUGAUAGCAGGUCUAAUCUUUAAAGGGAUAUUUUAAGGAAAUGGAUGGAAAUUUUUAUAUAUAGAUAUAAAUAAUGACACAGGUUUGAUCAGGGACAUGAUCUGCUGUGAAUCUGCCUGAGACAUUUCUUUUUUUUUUUCUUUUUUUUUAUGUACAAUAUUGUUUGUAUGUUUUUAUUAAUUAUUUCCUUUUUUUUUUAUCAAAUUGCAUACAGUAAAAAAAUAUAAUGUACCUUUCUGUUAUUGUUGUUUUUAUUGAGUGAAUAAAUCACUGCUUUUGAAAUAAUUUCGUAUAUAAUCAUCGCAUCAUAUGCUGAGAUGGACUGCAUAACCAUGCAGGGUGUAUUCCCACCUCACCUCACCUACAUCCAUGUUCCCGGGAUACACUCCGGAUCAACGAGACCCUGAGCAGGAUAAAGUGGGUCAUGGAAGAUGAAUAAAUG
Molecule: long non-coding RNA, 1778 nt
Organism: Ictalurus punctatus (channel catfish)
Lineage: Eukaryota; Metazoa; Chordata; Actinopteri; Siluriformes; Ictaluridae
Source: Ensembl